This 21-nucleotide microRNA is filed under the name Malus domestica (apple). RNAcentral describes it as "mdm-miR11011b". The record is from miRBase by way of RNAcentral. Lineage: Eukaryota; Viridiplantae; Streptophyta; Magnoliopsida; Rosales; Rosaceae.
UAAGUUCAUCCAAACACCAUA